CGGCAAGAGCUGGCCGUGGAUGGCAAGAUAUCCAAGGACGCCAAGGAUACCGUGCAGGAGUGCGUCUCCGAGUUCAUCUCCAGCGAGUGCUGCAGGGUGAGCGACAAGUGCCAGAGGGAGAAGCGCAAGACCAUCAACGGCGACAACCUGCUCUGGGCGAUGGCAACGCUGGGGUUUGAGGAGUACAUUGAGCCCCUCAAGGUUUAUCUGUAG
This 213-nucleotide ribosomal RNA is filed under the name Triticum aestivum (bread wheat). RNAcentral describes it as "partial small subunit ribosomal RNA". Lineage: Eukaryota; Viridiplantae; Streptophyta; Magnoliopsida; Poales; Poaceae. The record is from RNAcentral.